RNAcentral lists this ribosomal RNA (301 nucleotides) under uncultured bacterium. RNAcentral describes it as "partial 16S ribosomal RNA". It matches the Rfam family "Bacterial small subunit ribosomal RNA", at positions 509 to 807 of the family's 1533-position model. The record is from RNAcentral.
CAGCAGCCGCGGGAAUACGAAGGGGGCUAGCGUUGUUCGGAUUUACUGGGCGUGAAGCGCACGUAGGCGGAUCGACCAGUCAGGGGUGAAAUCCUGGAGCUCAACUCCAGAACUGCCUUUGAUACUGUCGAUCUCGAGUCCGGAAGAGGUGAGUGGAACUCCUAGUGUAGAGGUGGAAUUCGUAGAUAUUAGGAAGAACACCAGUGGCGAAGGCGGCUCACUGGUCCGGUACUGACGCUGAGGUGCGAAAGCGUGGGGAGCAAACAGGAUUAGAUACCCGUGUAGUCCCUGUCUCUUAUAC